GCCUGGGUGGCUCAGUUGGUUGAGCAUGGGACUUCGGCUCCCAGUUCGUGGGUUCGAGCCCCGCCUCAGGCU
Molecule: non-coding RNA, 72 nt
Organism: Herpailurus yagouaroundi (jaguarundi)
Lineage: Eukaryota; Metazoa; Chordata; Mammalia; Carnivora; Felidae
Source: the annotation of a RefSeq genome assembly